UGGGGGGCGAGGAGAAAGGGGGGGAGCCAUGAUUGCUAACAAGCACAAAAUGGAAUUUUACAGUAUACAAAAAAACAAAAAAAAAACACACCAAUAAAACAGUCUAUAAUAUUCAUUCAAAGCCAAUACACACGGUCCAGAGGGACACGUAUCCUCGCAAUGUUUGAAUUGUUUGUUGCCACCAUUGACAAAAUGUUUAUGAAGGAAUGUGUUUUUUGUGGUUUUUGCCAUUUCUGAUUAAAAGGUUGUUUGACUUUUCCUCAGAUUUUUAUUAUUUCUUUUAUUAUUAUUAUUUUUUUUUUUGUGAAGAAACUGUGAUCAUAUUUUUUUUUUUUUUUUUUUUCCAGUUAUAGAAUCCAUAAUAUCCUGAGUAUAGAAAUGAAGAUUUGAAUGUGAGAAUGUGAGGGGAAAAGGUUAGCGUGAUUAGUUUUAGCGGAUUCAAUGGGUGAAUGUAGGACAUAGGCUGUUUCUAAUUAACGCGGGUGUUUACCUGAUUCCACUAAUAAUACAUCAGAGGGAAAGGACGAAUUAUCGGGAAUUAAGAGGGAGUCAAGAGCAGCUCGAGCACUGUGAAAGUUACAGGCCCUUCUUACUAAUCAUAGGAUAUCACAAUCAAUUAUUGCUAUAUUUCUGUUGUCGUUUUUUUUGUUUGUUUGUUUGUUUGUUGUUUUUUUUACGUGUCUUUGUACAAAUUCUUAAUACGUAUGCAAAUUUUUUUUUCUUCCUCUUUUACUUUGCCAAAGUUAUCGUUUGAAAUAUAUUUAUACAUGAGAAAGAAGGCAGCUUUAUACAACUACUUUCACUUAUACAUCUGAUCUCAUGGAACAGCAAGAUUUUAUCAAAAUGGAUUAUGAGAAAUUUACCCGUCUCGCAUCAUGUAUGUAUCACUUCGAUUUUAUACGUUGCUUUCGUUCAUGUUUGUUAUGCUAUGAUGUGCAUUUUUACAUUGUGUUAUUGUUGUUUUUUUUAAAUUUUUUUAAAAAUUUUUUUUUUUUUUUACAGUUGUUCACAUUUUUAUCCGUCCAUUGUGAUGUGGUUUCUAUAUCAGUUUCUUGUUUAGGUUAACACUCAUAUUGUUAAUCCCAUCCACAUGAGGCCAAGGGUUUUUUCUUAAUUUUUUUUUAAUUUUUUUUUUUUAUACCAUUUGUUAAUAAGUUAAUGAAAUUUUGUCGUAGCGUUUAUGUUAGAUUUUUGUAUCACGUGGCAAAAUUUGUGAAAUGUUCAAUUCUUGGACCUUAUUCACUCAGUGUAUCGUCUGAAUAUAAAUAUACGUCGGCUUUAUCCGCUUUGCUUCACUAUCUCUGAGAUUUGGUUCUACGGACGUCGUGUACAAUAUCUUUUUUAUUCUUUUUGAAUGGUUCGUGUCCAUGUUCAAAGUUUUUUUUUUUUUUCUUCUUUCUCACAUCCACCAGCAGUUGAAAUGCCUUAAGAGUGCAGAGGCUCACCUCCAGUGCGCUGCUGUUGAACCUGCCUGCCGGGUAGGUGGUCAAAAAGUGGACGGUGGUUCGGCGAGGGUUUGAUUGUAAGCGUGUUCAAAACAGCACAAAAUCCCAUCAAAAUUUGCUUCGUGAACUUCCAUUAUUUCCCCCCUAAACAAAUAGUACUCUCAGAAUGUGAUCAUGUGAUCGUCCGAACCAGUUUCUUUCCAGUAAACUCGCCAUAGAUUUUUCUAUUUAUUUAUUUAUUUUCAGAUUUUUUUUUUUUUUUUUUUUUUUACAUUUUUCCUCCCCCAAGCCACAGCAUUCGUUAUUCAUCACGGACGAAGACUUAUCGAUUGACACAGAAACCCGAUUUCAAAUUAUUUGACGCUUUUCCUCCUACAAUUUGUUACAAACUGGACAUUACAUGUGUGUGUGUGUGUGUGUGUGUGUGUGUGUGUGUGUGUGUGUGGGGUUAUAUAUAUUGCUGGGGAGGGAAAUGAUAUUAAAAAAAAUUAAAGCUACUGUAAAAACGAUCAUUUUCUAAUUAACUGUAAGAUAACUUUUCAACUUUUCACAAUAUUUAAUUAAAGUUCCUUCUUGUCUGUGGCCAUUCGUUCUGUGUUUUUCUUGACAUGCAUUUAAAAUCAUGUUAAAUUUCAGAGACCGGUACAGUACACGCCAUAUGCUACACGAAGCUCUGAUGCUAACGAGCGCUUUCAUUUUGAAUCGCUAUGGCACGUUGUUAAGCUCUGCUAUCGACAAUGUCACCCCAUACCAGUAAUGUAUAUAUAGUGAGCGUGUUAUAGCAAGAACGUUACGGUAUACGGCGAUGGAACCGAUGGUAAGUAUGUACUGUAUAUAUUUCCAGGCGUC
Molecule: long non-coding RNA, 2294 nt
Organism: Ictalurus punctatus (channel catfish)
Lineage: Eukaryota; Metazoa; Chordata; Actinopteri; Siluriformes; Ictaluridae
Source: Ensembl